Molecule: ribosomal RNA, 859 nt
Filed under: Lumbricidae sp. Bozorgi-2018
Lineage: Eukaryota; Metazoa; Annelida; Clitellata; Crassiclitellata; Lumbricidae
Description: partial 28S ribosomal RNA
Rfam family: Eukaryotic large subunit ribosomal RNA (bases 294-859)
Source: RNAcentral
AUCGUCCGUCCGCGGGAUUCAGGCCGCUGUUCGGCGGAGCCGCGUCGUGCGCAUCCUUCUCGGAGCGCCGGCGCGUCUCGCACGCCGGUCGGCGACCGUACUUUCCGCGGACGGAGGGCCACGACCGGUUUCGGGGCGGCGAGAAGCUCCCGGGCAAGGUUCCCUGCGCUUCGGCGUCGGAGCUUAUAGGCCCGGGUAGAAUCGCCCGUCUCGGGACCGAGGAAGAACGCUUCGCGGCGGCGCGUCGACCGCCGGUCGUGCCUGCGCGUUCGACUCGGGGGGACUGGCGUCAGUGCCCUCGGACCGCGCGCUUGCACCGACCGGACGGCCCGGCGCGUCGCUCGGGGUCGGUGGCGAAUCUGCCGGCAACCUGUCCGACCCGUCUUGAAACACGGACCAAGGAGUCUAACAUGUGCGCGAGUCGUUGGGCGCUACGAAACCCGAAGGCGCAAUGAAAGUAAAGGGCCGGUCUCCGGUCGGGUUCGGUGGGAUCCGGGCGGUCUUGGCCGCACGGCGCACCACCGGCCCGUCUAGAUCGCCACGUCGAUCACGCGACGCAAGAGCGUACACGUUGGGACCCGAAAGAUGGUGAACUAUGCCUGAGUAGGGCGAAGCCAGAGGAAACUCUGGUGGAGGCUCGAAGCGAUUCUGACGUGCAAAUCGAUCGUCAAACUUGGGUAUAGGGGCGAAAGAUUAAUCGAACCAUUUAGUAGCUGGUUCCUGUGGAAGUUUCCCUCAGGAUAGCUGGCGUUCACCGGCGAAGUUUUAUCCGGUAAAGCGAAUGAUUGGAGGCCUUGGGGACGAAACGUCCUCAACCUACUCUCAAACUUUAAAUGGGUAAGAAGUCCGACUCUCUCGA